UGGUCACCUGCAACUACAGCAGGAUCAGGAA
This 31-nucleotide non-coding RNA is filed under the name Rattus norvegicus (Norway rat). The record is from RNAcentral. Lineage: Eukaryota; Metazoa; Chordata; Mammalia; Rodentia; Muridae.